Molecule: ribosomal RNA, 375 nt
Filed under: uncultured bacterium
Lineage: Bacteria
Description: bacterial SSU rRNA
Rfam family: Bacterial small subunit ribosomal RNA
Source: RNAcentral
AUUGAACGCUGGCGGCAUGCCUUACACAUGCAAGUCGAACGGCAGCGCGGGAGCAAUCCUGGCGGCGAGUGGCGAACGGGUGAGUAAUACAUCGGAACGUGCCCAAUCGUGGGGGAUAACGCAGCGAAAGCUGUGCUAAUACCGCAUACGAUCUACGGAUGAAAGCAGGGGAUCGCAAGACCUUGCGCGAAUGGAGCGGCCGAUGGCAGAUUAGGUAGUUGGUGAGGUAAAGGCUCACCAAGCCUUCGAUCUGUAGCUGGUCUGAGAGGACGACCAGCCACACUGGGACUGAGACACGGCCCAGACUCCUACGGGAGGCAGCAGUGGGGAAUUUUGGACAAUGGGCGAAAGCCUGAUCCAGCCAUGCCGCGUGCA